CUCCACUUGAAAAAUCAUAGUGGUUGAUAUAGGAAUCAGCAAAGUCUUUGAAGUUCUCUGGCAUGCAAGGAAAUUACAAUUUGGUUCUUAACUGAAAGGAAAAAUGUAAAACAGAUCUCCACCUUCUUCAGUGACAUUGGCAUGUUAGCAGUACUUACCAUCUGCCACACAUGGUAUUAGCGGAGGUUUUAUCUGUCUG
Molecule: long non-coding RNA, 199 nt
Filed under: Chinchilla lanigera (long-tailed chinchilla)
Lineage: Eukaryota; Metazoa; Chordata; Mammalia; Rodentia; Chinchillidae
Description: lncRNA (ENSCLAG00000024329.1)
Source: RNAcentral